GACGGGUAGCCGGCCUGAGAGGGCGACCGGCCACACUGGGACUGAGACACGGCCCAGACUCCUACGGGAGGCAGCAGUGGGGAAUAUUGCACAAUGGGCGAAAGCCUGAUGCAGCGACGCCGCGUGAGGGAUGAAGGCCUUCGGGUUGUAAACCUCUUUCAGCAGGGAAGAAGCGCAAGUGACGGUACCUGCAGAAGAAGCGCCGGCUAACUACGUGCCAGCAGCCGCGGUAAUACGUAGGGCGCAAGCGUUGUCCGGAAUUAUUGGGCGUAAAGAGCUCGUAGGCGGUUUGUCGCGUCUGGUGUGAAAACUCGAGGCUCAACCUCGAGCUUGCAUCGGGUACGGGCAGACUAGAGUGCGGUAGGGGAGACUGGAAUUCCUGGUGUAGCGGUGGAAUGCGCAGAUAUCAGGAGGAACACCGAUGGCGAAGGCAGGUCUCUGGGCCGCAACUGACGCUGAGGAGCGAAAGCAUGGGGAGCGAACAGGAUUAGAUACCCUGGUAGUCCAUGCCGUAAACGUUGGGCACUAGGUGUGGGGCUCAUUCCACGAGUUCCGUGCCGCAGCAAACGCAUUAAGUGCCCCG
Molecule: ribosomal RNA, 583 nt
Filed under: Cellulosimicrobium sp. MDRC-41
Lineage: Bacteria; Bacillati; Actinomycetota; Actinomycetes; Micrococcales; Promicromonosporaceae
Description: bacterial SSU rRNA
Rfam family: Bacterial small subunit ribosomal RNA
Source: RNAcentral